CCUCAGUUUCAUUACAUCACACUCAGCAUGCACAAUUAAUGGGCAUUUACUUGGCUAUUAAUAUUCAUUUCUGCAGGCCAACUGUGGAGCAAGAUUAGCUAAUUAGUAUUUGUUUUAUUAAUGUUUCAGCUUUAUUUCAAAUGAAUACAAACAAGAGGUUGACAUAAUAUUGUAAAAAUUUUCACACAAGUUCUUUAUCUUUUAUGGAUAUGCAUAUUUUGCUAAUUAUGAGUCAGUCAGUCUCUCUCUCUAUAUAUAUUAUAUAUACACACACACUUUUUUCAUAUAUAAACAUAUUUUGGAGUUUAGGCCAGCUCCCCAAGUGUGCACCCCUCCCUGACACAUGUGCCUAAUUCCAUGGCCCUGUUUGACAUUGUCCUGUAGAGAGGACAAGGCUCAUGGACCUGAUCCAUUUGCUAAUAUAAUGCUUCAAUGAAUUAUAACAUACAAAAACAAUACACUAAAAAUAUUAAAAUAUAAGAUACAUAUGAAGUUUCUGCAAUUGUUUUCGGUCUACAAGAUUUGCAAUGCCUGAAUGGAGGUCUCAUUAAACCAGAAAGUGAUUGAUGCUCAUUUAACUUAUCAUAAGCAGUGUUUUAUGGGUAUAGCAGGAGUUUAUUGGAGUUGUAUGUCAAUAGCCAUCUUUUUACUACUCUGCUAACAACUUUCCAGAAACCACUAGAUGACUAAAAAAGGCGCUUAAAAAUCAAUUCUGGUAGGGAAAAAAAUAGUUAUUUUAAUUAGCUGCUGUUACACCAUCAAGUUAUCCAUUAAAUAACUAAAUAAUAAUUUUGAGUACUGGAAUUGCACCGUAUAGGAUUGGCACUUUUCAGAAAUAUUUGCACUUUUCAGAAAAAUAAUUGCUGAAACAUUUGAAGAAAUUGAUAGUUGAGAUUGCACUUUAUAAGACUGGUACCUUAAGAAGGUAUUCAAAUAAAUUAGUAAUACAGUCAAAUAAUUCACUAAGUGCUCCACCAUAACAACUUACACAUUAUGGCAUUUUUCAGAAACCAGCAUUUAAUAGCUAUUUGUGUAGUGACAAUUGUGUGAAUAGCAGUUAAGGUCCAUUUCUAUUUUUAUAAAUUUAUGUUUGAUAUUACAAUUUUUUUUUUUUUAUAUAGCGGGCACAAGAGAUCUCAUAUUAUUGACCAGGGACAAAUCCUUGGUGGGUACUAAACCACCUACAUUCUCUAAUCUAGACCCAGAAGUCCUCUAUUACAUAGAAGUGGAUAAUUUUAUUAGUCCUUUUUAGACUCGUCAUAUUUUCACUAUACGGUGAUCAAUGUGUAACUAGAACGUUUCCCUGAGGCUUUCAUUGGCCAGAACAAGAUGGUAGUGGAACCUAUAAGACACCAGAAGCAACCCAGAGCUAGUUUCUAUUGGUUCUGAAAAGAGUGAGUUGGCAAUUUAGGCAUUUUUUUUAAUUUGUAAAGAUGCACAGUAUAGUAUUUAUGUUUAUAUAUUAUUUUUCAUUUUGUUGCUUUUUUUUGUUACUGAUGCCCAACCUCACUUUUCAAUUUUUCCCACUUUCCAGGUUUUAUUUUUAAAUUAUUUUUUUCCACUCCAUUUCUGCCUUUUAAAAAUGUAAUUCACCUUAGCUUUUUAGACACAAGAAAAAGUGGGGACUGUUUUUUCUUAUAGGGACUGUGAUCUUUGGCAAUCCCUCUCCUUGCGGACAGUAAUCAAAGCUCCAUUUUAAUUACCAAGCUAAUUUACCCAUAAUUAGUCAGUCCAAAAAAUCCCCAGAAGGACAAACUGCAAGAGGAGAACAAAAUGGAGUCACCCCGGUAUUGAGAUCUGGCGCAAGAAAGGAAAUAUAUAAAUAAAGGAAAGUGGUGCAAAAGCAUUAAGAUACACAGGGCAUAAGGUAAAGAAAAAUAAAAUAUGAUGGUGCAACUUUAAAUUACCGUAUUUUCCUGUGUAUAAGACGUCCCACAUGUAUAAGACGACCCCUAUUUUUGGAGCCCAAAAUUAAGAAAUCAUUAUUUUAAACAUCAAAUAGAACAAUGAUAUUUUAGAGCUGACUUCUGAGGAGAACAGCACACUUCUGAUUCUCAUGCCUCCCCUGUGCUAUGGUACUCUGUGAUGUUAAUGGCUCUAUAGUGCAUGCUGGGACAUCACAGUAGUAUUUCCUCUGCUCCCUGAUCCCCAUUUCCUCCCCCAUAAAUAUAAAUCAGAAAGCUAGACCUACCUGAGGUGGAGCAAACCUUAAUAUGGCUGCUCCUUUCAUGGUGUGACAUGUCUAUAGAGCUCCGUUGCUGAUGUCUGCUGCAGCUCCCAAGCAUAUUUGGACCUCUUCCUCCCUGCCACAGCAUUCAGAAGUGGAUCAGCGGGAGGGAGGCCAGGUAUGUAUGUGGGCUGUGGCACACACUGAAAUGUGGCAGGUACCAUCUUAAAUUAGGCCCCACGCACAAGUUUUUUUUUUUUACCCCUGCAGUGACAUUCCUUGUA
Molecule: long non-coding RNA, 2451 nt
Filed under: Pelobates cultripes (western spadefoot toad)
Lineage: Eukaryota; Metazoa; Chordata; Amphibia; Anura; Pelobatidae
Source: RNAcentral